RNAcentral lists this ribosomal RNA (301 nucleotides) under uncultured bacterium. RNAcentral's name for it is "partial 16S ribosomal RNA". It matches the Rfam family "Bacterial small subunit ribosomal RNA", at positions 509 to 807 of the family's 1533-position model. The record is from RNAcentral.
CAGUCGCCGCGGUAAAACGAAGGGUGCAAGCGUUAAUCGGAAUUACUGGGCGUAAAGCGUGCGCAGGCGGUUUGUUAAGUCCGUUGUGAAAGCCCUGGGCUCAACCUGGGAAUUGCAGUGGAUACUGGGUCACUAGAGUGUGGUAGAGGAUAGUGGAAUUUCCGGUGUAGCAGUGAAAUGCGUAGAGAUCGGAAGGAACAUCUGUGGCGAAGGCGACUAUCUGGGCCAACACUGGCACUGAGGCACGAAAGCGUGGGGAGCAAACAGGAUUAGAUACCCCUGUAGUCCAUGUCUCUUAUAC